Molecule: unclassified non-coding RNA, 337 nt
Filed under: soil metagenome
Description: partial contains 5.8S ribosomal RNA, internal transcribed spacer 2, and large subunit ribosomal RNA
Rfam family: 5.8S ribosomal RNA (bases 1-120)
Source: RNAcentral
GAUGGAGAACGUAGCGAAAUGCGAUAAGUAGUGUGAAUUGCAGAAUUCAGUGAAUCAUCGAAUCUUUGAACGCACAUUGCGCCCCAUGGUAUUCCGUGGGGCAUGCCUGUUCGAGCGUCAUUUACCCCCUCAAGCUCCGCUUGGUGUUGGGCGUCUGUCCCGCUUCGCGCGCGGACUCGCCCCAAAGGUAUUGGCAGCGGUCGUGCCAGCUUCUCGCGCAGCACAUUGCGCUUCUCGAGGCACCGGUGGGCCCGCGUCCAUCAAGCUCACCCCCCCAGUUUGACCUCGGAUCAGGUAGGGAUACCCGCUGAACUUAAGCAUAUCAAUAAGCGGAGGA